RNAcentral lists this ribosomal RNA (783 nucleotides) under uncultured bacterium. RNAcentral's name for it is "bacterial SSU rRNA". It matches the Rfam family "Bacterial small subunit ribosomal RNA", at positions 32 to 865 of the family's 1533-position model. The record is from RNAcentral.
ANAGCUGCGGCGGCUUACACAUGCAGUCGNACGAAGCUUUCGGGCUUANUGGCGGACGGGUGAGUAACGCGUGGGAACGUGCCCUUUGCUACGGAACAGUCCCGGGAAACUGGGUUUAAUACCGUAUAUCCUCUACGGAGGAAAGAUUUAUCGGCAAAGGAUCGGCCCGCGUUGGAUUAGGUAGUUGGUGGGGUAAAGGCCUACCAAGCCGACGAUCCAUAGCUGGUUUGAGAGGAUGAUCAGCCACACUGGGACUGAGACACGGCCCAGACUCCUACGGGAGGCAGCAGUGGGGAAUCUUAGACAAUGGGGGCAACCCUGAUCUAGCCAUGCCGCGUGAUCGAUGAAGGCCUUAGGGUUGUAAAGAUCUUUCGCUGGGGAAGAUAAUGACGGUACCCAGUAAAGAAGCCCCGGCUAACUCCGUGCCAGCAGCCGCGGUAAUACGGAGGGGGCUAGCGUUGUUCGGAAUUACUGGGCGUAAAGCGCGCGUAGGCGGAUUGGAAAGUUGGGGGUGAAAUCCCGGGGCUCAACCCCGGAACUGCCUCCAAAACUAUCAGUCUGGAGUUCGAGAGAGGUGAGUGGAAUUGCGAGUGUAGAGGUGAAAUUCGUAGAUAUUCGCAGGAACACCAGUGGCGAAGGCGGCUCACUGGCUCGAUACUGACGCUGAGGUGCGAAAGUGUGGGGAGCAAACAGGGUUAGAUACCCUGGUAGUCCACACCGUAAACGAUGAAUGCCAGACGUCGGCAAGCAUGCUUGUCGGUGUCACACCUAACGGGAUUAAGC